This 6396-nucleotide long non-coding RNA is filed under the name Sus scrofa (pig). RNAcentral describes it as "lncRNA (ENSSSCG00035014795.1)". The record is from RNAcentral. Lineage: Eukaryota; Metazoa; Chordata; Mammalia; Artiodactyla; Suidae.
GGGGGAUAGUUAUUUUAAGAGUAUCAAAAAACAUAGUAGUAAGAGUAAGAAUAAACGCAGAUUUAAUUUUAACAGCUCUACCACAAUGGUGUACACAAUACCUUACAUUUUAAAAGAGCUUACCAUACCCAAAAGAAAAGAAGAGAAGCAAGAAAUAUGUCUUUUGUGUGUACAGUGGCUUACACAGAAUGAUUAUCAUUUGCUCUCUGGAAAUGAACUCCAUCUUGGCCUUAAAUUCUUAUAUUUCUUCACAGACUUGAAAUGCCAGUUGAAGGCAUUCAGAAAUUUAAAGGAACUGAUUUAACAACCUUGGACAAAAAGAACAUGUCUGAAAGUUUGUCUCAAUGUUUGACUUGACCUAGGAGAGUUUCUCUGAGACUUAUUUUCUAAACAGUACCCUAGCACCUUGGGCCAGCAAAAUGGCCUUUAAGCUUGAAUGAACAAGGUAUUUCUUUUCCUCUAGUGCAAAGCUUCACUAUUUCAUCUUUUCAAACUCUUUUACUGCACUCAGUGGGGAAUUAUAUUGACAAGGGUAGAAUUUAUCUCCUAGAGGAGAAUGCUAUGCUUCUGUUAAGUGCUAAUAUAACAUUUAUGUGUUGGUACCUUAAUAACAGCCCCAGCUUACCUAAUGAAAGUUGAAAGCAAACAGUACUCUCUGAGAUUUUAUUAUGACUGAAGUGACUGCAAUUUGAGGCAAAUUAUCCCUAUUUUUGUUCCCAUAUCAAAAACAGAGAUGCUAAAGCAAUUGCUACAUGUUUGGUAUGGAAUUAGGUUCCACUCUCAUUAAUCUACAAGGAAGAGCAUUUUUCAUGUAAACAGCUCACGAGGGUCAGAGAGAAGAGCUGUUUCUGUGAAAAAUGCUUGUCAAUAACUUUGUGAGUGAAUUUUGAAAUAAAGUGCCUGUAACCUGUCAUUAUUCCUUCCUCUCAAAGUCAGGAGUGAGUGGAUGAAAAUUGAGCAUGUGAAUUGAAAGCAGGGUGAGUGUUAUGGCCUUAUCGACUUCAGGUAAAAUGACUGUUUUAACUUGUUAUUAUUUUUCCAUUCAGAGGUCAGGCAAUGUGCAGUAUUACCAGCAUAGACUGCAGCGUAAGCAAAUUGGUAUACAAAAAGGCUAUUAUCCACACUCACAAAGCAGAGGAAAGUAUAAGUCACUAAUACCAAGUGGACUUGUGAUCUCUGCAAAAACGAAACAAACAACAGUGCUUAAAAAAGAGUGGCAUAGGUAUGUACGUAUAAAGUACAUAGGAAGCAGAAAAUAUAUACCUGUUUAAAUAAAGGUGCAUGUGUUUAGAAGGCAAUGACCAUUUUUAAAAAAUCAUGUAUGAUCUUACUUGUUUUGCAAAGGAAUUAUGGGACCUGGAUACUGAAUGUUAAGCACCCAUCUCUACAUCACCUUAAAAUUUUUUCCUGCCUACGAGCGUCUCAAAAGUAAUUAGCUGCUGGAUUUUGAAGUCCAUCUGAUAUGUUCUUAGCAAAAGCAAAAUACUACUGUGGUUUUCCUUUUCCCUAGAAAAAAAGGAAAUUAGCGAGGCUUCAACUGAUCAAAAAUCCUUUCCUUGUCUUCUAGAUUUUUAUUUCUAAUUCUGAAGAACAAGUGAAAAAUUUAGCAUGCCUAUUUUAUUUUAUUAUGUUUUUUGGGGGGUGCACCCACAGCAUUUGGAAGUUCCAGGGUCAGGGAUCAAAUCCAAGCCACAGCUGCAACCUAUACCACAGCUUUAGCAACACUGGAUCCUUAACUCAUUGCUCCUGGCCAGGAAUGGAACUGGCACCUCUUUAGUGACCCAAGUGGCUGCAGGGACAAUGCUGGAUCCUUAACUUGCUAUAGCACAGUGUCAAAAGUUUGAGUUCUUUUCCUUCUAAACAAGUUUUCCCUGGUUUCAAAAUAAUUAUAAUGACCUAAGAUAAAAAAGAAAUAUAUUGGCAUUUCUUUGCUUUGAAUUUGCUCAGUUUAUUCAUUUCUUUAAACAAAUGUUUGCUAGUUGUGACAUUGUGCCAACCGUGAGAGCCCUUGCCUUCCUCUAGUGAGAGUCAGGCAAAUGGUGAGCUAAGUUGCCAUGAUAACACUAGAAGAAUGAAAGCUCCAUGGAGGCAAAGGAUCUUUAUCCAUUUCUGUUUAGCAGCAUAUCCUAACCACCCAAGCCAGGACCUGACACACAGCAGCCACCUGAGAGAUAUUUGUUGAAUGCUGCAUGGAUGUAACUAGGGCAUAAACACAGGUCUAAGAGGCUAUGGGUGGGGCAGACAGAGUUGGAUUAAAACCUGAAAAGUCUUAUAAGCCAUGCCAAGGAAUUUGAACUUGGAUCAAAAGUGGUUGAAUGAUAUUAAGCAUGCAGGGGCUUUCAAAAAAAAAAGGUAGCUAUAUCUUUAAAAAAGAUUCCUCUGGCUGAACUGUAGCUAAUGGAUUGAAGAAGAAGAUGGGAACUGAAGAGGCCAUUUAGGAGGCUGCACAAAAAUCCAAGCAACACAUAAAUGACAGUGGCCAAAAUUAAAAUUAAAGUAAGAGGACAGAAAUAAAUAGGCAUAUUUUAAGUGAUUUAAGGAGUUAAAAUGAUAAGACAGUGGCUGCUUAGAAUGAACUAGGGGGAAGUCACUAAAAAGACAGAAGAGACAAGGACAAGACUCUGCUUCCCAGCCUUGGACAACAGAGUGGCUAGAUGACAUUUCCCAAGAUGAGGAAAAUGUAUUUAGUAGGGAAGGUGGCAAGUUUAUUUUUGGAUAUGCUAAGUUGUUUAAAGCAUCAAUUUGCUAUAUCCUGGGUUUCAUACUGAUUCCCUUUUCCUACAUCCCCAAACUAGAUUUGCACACAUCCACUGCAAACAGACAAAACAAACUCAAGUACCUAUCAUAGUAGUUAUGAGUGUACUUUGCUUAUAUAUGACAUAAAUUGCAUAAAAAUAUUCUUCUUCCCUCAUAAAAGCAUUUUUGAAAUGCAAAGGUAUACAAAGAGUAAACUAUUUUUGAGUUAAUCAUUGUAACUAUCCUGAGUUGUGCUAGUCAGUGAAAAGCAUGAUACCACAAACCAAGUCACAAUAAAUGAUGUGCUAUGCCCUUAAAGGGUUAUUUAUAAGUGUAUCUGUAUAGGUAAAUAUACUUCAGUAUUUUUGCAUUUAUAGUUGUAUGACAUGCAGGGAUGGAAGUUAUAAGUUGAGUUGAAUGUAUAUGUCUACAUAUGUUUUUGAAUAUAAUAUCAUUUUAAAUUUUUUCUGGUUUUUGGUUCUACAAAAGAUAUUAAAAUAAAGAUACAAAACGUACUCAAAAUGAAAACAUACAGAGUUCCUGUCGUGGCUCAGCAGUAGCCAACCUGACUGAUAUCCACGAGGAGGCAGGUUUGAUCCCUGGAUUUGCUCAGUGGGUUAAGGAUCCAGCGCUUCUGUGAGCUGCGGUGUAGGUCACAGAUGCAGCUCGGAUCUGGCAUUGCUAUGGCUGUGGUGUAGGUUGGCAGCUGCAGCUCCAAUUAGGAACCUCCAUAUGCUUUGGAUGUGCCCCCCCCAAAAAAAGCAAACAUAUGUAAAUAGACUCUUACUUUAUCUUGGUAAUUAUGGGCAACAAUUAUUACUCAAUUGAUUAAAAUUAAUUGAGCUAGUAACAGAAAUACUUAAUAUGUCACCUGUAUUUCAAACUGUUUCCAUUUAUUGGAUAAUUAAUCAAUUUACUAAAUUCUUAUUCAAAUAUGUAUAUGUAAAGCUAAUACAGUUUCUGAAAUAUAGCCAAUCCAUGCUGACAUCAAUGUCCUGAUUGUUUUCUUUUAUUUCUAGAAAGAACACAAGUGUCAUGGCAAUGCCAAGGCCACAGGUAGAGUCCAGGGGGUAGUGGCAGUUCCUCAGCUCACUAGAGAUGCUGCCUUUGAGUGGCAUGUCAUUGUGGUGGCAGAUGAACCAUCUAGAAGGAAGCAUUUUGCUUUGAAGAAGAACUCUGAGGGUUUUCAAACUAAAUGUGAAGCUAUGACUUCCAGUGAGUCUGUGUCCAUUACUUUAAUGUGGACAUCAACAUUUUUUUCCUCACCUGACUUAAACAGGACUCUGGAAGACCUGAUGACUAUGUUUGUGUAUGUAAGAAGACUGAAGACAACCAAGCUGCACCAUUGUAUUUUAGAACAUUCUGUGAAAAGUAUAGCAUUAAUGUCCAUGUACUACCAGCAGGGUCUGCUACAAAGAAGAAAGGGGAAAUAAGUGUAUGGAAAAUGGAGAAGUGGCUGCUUCCACAUGAUAUAGGAAAGCCUAUUGAUGGCUUUAAAUUGUCUCAUAAAGGGAAACACAGAGACUAUACUAAUAAACUCAGUGCCUAAUGAGCAUAACUACAUCUUUUUGCAGCCUUGGGAUUUUCCACAGUUUAAUCUUUUGUGAAAUAAAAUGCACCAUAAUGGCUGUAACAUACCACCCUUGAACAACUUCAGUUUUGGAGAAAUACUUACUACAUUUGUCUUCAUAAAAAUAAUUCUGGACAUAUCUCUUUUACCUGAAUGCUAGUAUUUAAGGAAAGAGUCUGUUCGCAUUUUUAUGAAUAUGAAUAUGACAUGAAAUAUUGAUCUGUUUUAACUUAAUAAUGUAAAAGAUGGUGCUCUAAGGGCCCAGUAUCCUAUUUUUUCCUACUUAACCUGAAGCAAUAUUAAGAGGAAAUUCAACCUGACAUUCUUUAAUAUACUUAAAACAUAAGAUAAAGAAAGCAAUGAAAAUGUAGCAAAGAACAAGCUCCUCUCAUUCAGGAACAAAGGAGUAAACAGAGCCUGACAGAAUCUGGUGGUUGUUCUACAAGGACUAGUUUUAGGAGAAAAAAAAAUCAACCAGGUAAAAUGUAUUUUCUUACUGCAGCAUACCUGCUUGAUUGCUGACAAUCCGUAAUCUCUCGUAAGAUUAUCUGAAUAAAUUAUCCUCACUUUGUUUGAAAAAGAAGUUUAACAUAUAUUUAAACAGGGCAGUUUUGUGGUGGAGAGGAACUGUGCUGAGCUAUGCGUUAUACUAAUGGCAUUGGGUGUAGAAUGAGUCAUCAUGGUUUUUAUUUAUUCAUUCAUCCUUAGAUCCUUUUAAAAGUCUCCAAGGCCCUAAUGACCAUCAUCAUUAUCAUCAGUAAAAACUGCUUUCUGGUGAAAAGGCAAUAGGCAUUAAAUUUAGAGGCAGCAUUAAAUUAUCAGUAAAAAGGAAUUGAAAUAAUACUGCAUGCUUAUUCCAGGACACAAUACAUCGAAAGUUCACACAGCACAGUCAGGUACUCUUCUUUGGAAAAUCUGAGAUUAAGUUGUCCUCUUCUCCUUUACAAGGUAAUAUCAUUUGACUCAGGAGAAAAUAAAAUAUAGGACAAUUCCUUUCCAGCAUUGAAUUUUGGAAGUCAAAAGUAUCAGUCAUAAGAAGGUUCUUAAUUAAUAAUAAAAUUUUAAGAAUUAUCAGUAUCAAAACUUUAUUUUGAUCCUUUCCUCUACCCACUAUAGUUCCUCAGAUGUAUUAAAUAAACACUGUCUAGUGAGUGAAAAAAAAUCUGUGAGAAGUGUUUUGAACUAAACCUUAAGUACUUUCUGUCUCAGAAGUAUUUUAAAUAUUCCAUUGUCAUUCAGCAAACAUAAUAGAGGCUUUACUUCCCUGUGUAAUCUCCAGCAAAAGAACUAAAGCUAAUUUCAAAGGGUCAAAUCCCACUCGUUUGGGGAUGAAUUUAGUGUGUUAUCUGAAAACAGGGAAAGUUACUGCCUAGUGAUUAAUCCAGAGGGUCGUAAUGCUUGGCUGUCCCUAUCCAUCCCCUUCCUCAUAAUCCCACCACAAUUUGGGCAGUAGAUGCAGUUAUGAAGUUAUCAUGAAGAGAGCAGACCAGAGAAGAUGACUUCAUUCCAACAUUGUAGGUGAGUGCAAAGUGUUCUGAAUUUGGAGCAAGGCUGUUAGAAAUCAUUUUCUGCUGUAAAUGGACCAGUCCCUUAAACUCUCCAUCUAAGCAUAGGGUUGUCGGAUUUCUGAUUUUGAAGCAAGUGGACAGGUAUUUGAACUUUCUGCUUUAUAAAGACACACAAAACGCCAUCAGACAUAAAACCCCAUUAUAAAGCAAAAGAAAUAAUACCCUGUGAUGUAAAAUAUAACUUUUAGUACAGGCUAUUGGUAAAUUUUCCAUCUCUAUGAAUAUGGCUCUUUUUAAUUUGAUCAAACAGUUUUUUAAUCCAGAGUGACAGAACUGGCAAUUUCUUCAAAGCUGCAUUCAGUGUCCUUUUUUAUAAAAUGAAAAUGCUAACAAGGUGAACUGAGAUGACAUAUAUGAAAGUGUUCUUAUUCAUUGUUAAGUAUUGUACAAAUGCAAAUUGUCCUUGUGUUUGCUGCUAUUCUUCUGAGAUUCAUAAUAGCUCUAAAAAAGAUAUCACUGGGGUUUCACUCUGUAUCACAUUCUCUAAUAAACAGGAUUUUGUUUGCCACUAUAUUUAAAAGC